RNAcentral lists this long non-coding RNA (5075 nucleotides) under Selaginella moellendorffii. Its description in RNAcentral is "long non-coding RNA (SMOE_LNC002438)". Lineage: Eukaryota; Viridiplantae; Streptophyta; Lycopodiopsida; Selaginellales; Selaginellaceae. The record is from RNAcentral.
AAACUUCAUGCUGCACCUCGACUUUGCUUUGCUCCUCCUCCACGUUCUCGUGAAUGUCCUCACUGGCAGGAGGUGCUCGCUGUGUGUCGUCCACUGUGGCAUCUGUUGCAUGCAUGGAAUCCGGUGCACCACUCUCCAUCUCUGGCACUGCCAACUUUUCUCCCUCUUGCAGGAUCGCGACUGAAGCACUCUCCCUGGGCUCGACAUUCUCCACCUGGUCAUCCACAGCCACCUUGGCCGGCUCUAUGCUCUCUUCCUCCUUGAUUUCCUCGUGUGCGGGUAAGACGUCAUCCACUGUCGCGGUUGGUACUUGAGCUACAACUGGCUCGGCCGGUUGCACCUCCUUGGCCGCCUCUUCAGCAGCCUCAGGCACGGCCUCUGUCUCGGGAACGGCCUCAAGCACAUGCUGUGGCUCCUGGACUUCUUUGUUCCCCGACUGUGGGGGUUCUUCUACUGGGACAGCAAGCUUGACCUCGCGUUCGGAAACUUCAUGCUGCACCUCGACUUUGCUUUGCUCCUCUUCCACGUUCUCGUGAAUGUCCUCACUGGCAGGAGGUGCUCGCUGUGUGUCGUCCACUGUGGCAUCUGUCGCAUGCAUGGAAUCCGGUGCACCACUCUCGAUCUCUGGCACCGCCAACUUUUCUCCCUCGUCCAGGAUCGCGACUGAAGCACUCUCCCUGGGCUUGACAUUAUCCACGUGGUCAUCCACAGCCACCUUGGCCGGCUCUAUGCUCUCUUCCUCCUUGAUUUCCUCGUGUGCGGGUAAGAUGUCAUCCACUGUGGCAGUUGGUACUUGAGCUACGACUGGCUCCGCCGGUUCCACCUCCAUGGCAGCCUCUUCGGCAGCUUCAGGCACGUCCUCAUGCUCGGGAACGGCCUCAGGCACAGGCUGUGGCUCCUGGACGGCUUCGUUCACCAACUGUGGGCGUCCCUCUACUGGUAUGGCAAUCUCAACCUCGCGUUGGGAAACUUCAUGUAUCACUGUGACGUUGGUUUGCUCCUCUUCCACAUUCUCGUGAAUGUCUUCACUGGCAGAAGAUGCUCGCUGUGUGUCCUCCAGGGUGGCAUCUGUUGCAUGCAUGGAAUCCGGUGCAGCACUGUCAAUCUCUGGCACCGCCAACUUUUCUCCCUCGUCCAGGAUCGCGACUGAAGCACUCUCCCGGGGCUCGACCUUCUCUACCUUGUCAUCCAGAGCCACCUUGGCCGGCUCUAUGCUCUCUUCCUCCUUGAUUUCUUCGUGUGUGGGUAAGAUGUCAUCCACUGUGGCGGUCGGUACUUGAGCUACGACUGGCUCGGCUGGUUGCACCUCUUUGGCAGCCUCUUCAGAAGCCUCAGGCACGGCCUCUGUCUCGGGAACGGCCUCAAGCACAGGCUGUGGCUCCUGGACUUCUUCGUUCCCUGACGGUGGGAGUUCUUCUACUGGGACAGCAAGCUCAACCUCGCGUUCCGAAACUUCAUGCUGCACCUCGACUUUGGUUUGCUCCUCUUCCACGUUGUCGUGAAUGUCCUCACUGGCAGGAGAUGCUCGCUGUGUGUCGUCCACUGUGGCAUCUGUCGCAUGCAUGGAAUCCGGUGCACCACUCUCGAUCUCUGGCACUGCCAACUUUUCUCCCUCCUGCAGGAUCGCGACUGAAGCACUCUCCCUGGGCUCGACAUUCUCCACCUGGUCAUCCACAGCCACCUUGGCCGGCUCUAUGCUCUCUUCCUCCUUGAUUUCCUCGUGUGCGGGUAAGACGUCAUCCACUUUCGCGGUUGGUACUUGAGCUACAACUGGCUCGGCCGGUUGCACCUCUUUGGCAUCCUCUUCAGAAGCCUCAGGCACGGCCUCUGUCUCGGGAACGGCCUCAAGCACAGGCUGUGGCUGCUGGACUUCUUCGUUCCCUGACUGUGGGAGUUCUUCUACUGGGACGGCAAGCUCGACCUUGCGUUCGGAAACUUCAUGCUGCACCUCGACUUUGGUUUGCUCCUCUUCCACGUUGUCGUGAAUGUCCUCACUGGCAGGAGAUGCUCGCUGUGUGUCGUCCACUGUGGCAUCUGUCACAUGGAUGGAAUCUGGAGCAGCACUCUCGAUCUCUGGCACCGCCAACUUUUCUCCCUCCUGCAGGAUCGCGACUGAAGCACUCUCCCUGGGCUUGAAAUUCUCCACCUGGUCAUCCACAGCCACCUUGGCCUGCUCUAUGCUCUCUUCCUCCUUGAUUUCCUCGUGUGCGGGUAAGACGUCAUCCACUUUCGCGGUUGGUACUUGAGCUACAACUGGCUCGGCUGGUUGCACCUCUUUGGCAUCCUCUUCAGAAGCCUCAGGCACGGCCUCUGUCUCGGGAACGGCCUCAAGCACAGGCUGUGGCUCCUGGACUUCUUCGUUCCCCGACUGUGGGAGUUCUUCUACUGGGACAGCAAGCUCGACCUCGCGUUCCGAAACUUCAUGCUGCACCUCGACUUUGCUUUGCUCCUCUUCCACGUUGUCGUGAAUGUCCUCACUGGCAGGAGGUGCUCGCUGUGUGUCGUCCACUGUGGCAUCUGUCGCAUGCAUGGAAUCCAGUGCACCACUCUCGAUCUCUGGCACCGCCAACUUUUCUCCCUCCUGCAGGAUCGCGACUGAAGCACUCUCCCUGGGCUCGACAUUCUCCACCUGGUCAUCCACAGCCACCUUGGCCGGCUCUAUGCUCUCUUCCUCCUUGAUUUCCUCGUGUGCGGGUAAGACGUCAUCCACUUUCGCGGUUGGUACUUGAGCUACAACUGGCUCGGCUGGUUGCACCUCUUUGGCAUCCUCUUCAGAAGCCUCAGGCACGGCCUCUGUCUCGGGAACGGCCUCAAGCACAGGCUGUGGCUCCUGGACUUCUUCGUUCCCUGACGGUGGGAGUUCUUCUACUGGGACAGCAAGCUCGACCUCGCGUUCGGAAACUUCAUGCUGCACCUCGACUUUGCUUUGCUCCUCUUCCACGUUCUCGUGAAUGUCCUCACUGGCAGGAGAUGCUCGCUGUGUGUCGUCCACUGUGGCAUCUGUCGCAUGCAUGGAUCCCAGUGCAACACUCUCGAUCUCUGGCACCGCCACUUUUCUCCCUCCUGCAGGAUCGCGACUGAAGCACUCUCCCUGGGCUUGAAAUUCUCCACCUGGUCAUCCACAGCCACCUUGGCCUGCUCUAUGCUCUCUUCCUCCUUGAUUUCCUCGUGUGCGGGUAAGACGUCAUCCACUUUCGCGGUUGGUACUUGAGCUACAACUGGCUCGGCUGGUUGCACCUCUUUGGCAUCCUCUUCAGAAGCCUCAGGCACGGCCUCUGUCUCGGGAACGGCCUCAAGCACAGGCUGUGGCUCCUGGACUUCUUCGUUCCCCGACUGUGGGAGUUCUUCUACUGGGACAGCAAGCUCGACCUCGCGUUCGGAAACUUCAUGCUGCACCUCGACUUUGCUUUGCUCCUCUUCCACGUUGUCGUGAAUGUCCUCACUGGCAGGAGGUGCUCGCUGUGUGUCGUCCACUGUGGCAUCUGUCGCAUGCAUGGAAUCCAGUGCACCACUCUCGAUCUCUGGCACCGCCAACUUUUCUCCCUCCUGCAGGAUCGCGACUGAAGCACUCUCCCUGGGCUCGACAUUCUCCACCUGGUCAUCCACAGCCACCUUGGCCGGCUCUAUGCUCUCUUCCUCCUUGAUUUCCUCGUGUGCGGGUAAGACGUCAUCCACUUUCGCAGUUGGUACUUGAGCUACAACUGGCUCGGCUGGUUGCACCUCUUUGGCAUCCUCUUCAGAAGCCUCAGGCACGGCCUCUGUCUCGGGAACGGCCUCAAGCACAGGCUGUGGCUCCUGGACUUCUUCGUUCCCUGACGGUGGGAGUUCUUCUACUGGGACAGCAAGCUCGACCUCGCGUUCGGAAACUUCAUGCUGCACCUCGACUUUGGUUUGCUCCUCUUCCACGUUGUCGUGAAUGUCCUCACUGGCAGGAGGUGCUCGCUGUGUGUCGUCCACUGUGGCAUCUGUCGCAUGCAUGGAAUCCGGUGCACCACUCUCGAUCUCUGGCACCGCCAACUUUUCUCCCUCCUGCAGGAUCGCGACUGAAGCACUCUCCCUGGGCUCGACAUUCUCCACCUGGUCAUCCACAGCCACCUUGGCCGGCUCUAUGCUCUCUUCCUCCUUGAUUUCCUCGUGUGCGGGUAAGACGUCAUCCACUUUCGCAGUUGGUACUUGAGCUACAACUGGCUCGGCUGGUUGCACCUCUUUGGCAUCCUCUUCAGAAGCCUCAGGCACGGCCUCUGUCUCGGGAACGGCCUCAAGCACAGGCUGUGGCUCCUGGACUUCUUCGUUCCCUGACGGUGGGAGUUCUUCUACUGGGACAGCAAGCUCGACCUCGCGUUCGGAAACUUCAUGCUGCACCUCGACUUUGCUUUGCUCCUCUUCCACGUUCUCGUGAAUGUCCUCACUGGCAGGAGGUGCUCGCUGUGUGUCGUCCACUGUGGCAUCUGUCACAUGGAUGGAAUCCGGUGCACCACUCUCGAUCUCUGGCACCGCCAACUUUUCUCCCUCCUGCAGGAUCGCGACUGAAGCACUCUCCCUGGGCUCGACAUUCUCCACCUGGUCAUCCACAGCCACCUUGGCCGGCUCUAUGCUCUCUUCCUCCUUGAUUUCCUCGUGUGCGGGUAAGACGUCAUCCACUUUCGCAGUUGGUACUUGAGCUACAACUGGCUCGGCUGGUUGCACCUCUUUGGCAGCCUCUUCAGAAGCCUCAGGCACGGCCUCUGUCUCGGGAACGGCCUCAAGCACAGGCUGUGGCUGCUGGACUUCUUCGUUCCCUGACGGUGGGAGUUGUUCUACUGGGACAGCAAGCUCGACCUCGCGUUCGGAAACUUCAUGCUGCACCUCGACUUUGCUUUGCUCCUCUUCCACGUUGUCGUGAAUAUCCUCACUGGCAGGAGGUGCUCGCUGUGUGUCGUCCACUGUGGCAUCUGUCGCAUGCAUGGAAUCUGGAGCACCACUCUCGAUCUCUGGCACCGCCAACUUUUCUCCCUCCUGCAGGAUCGCGACUGAAGCACUCUCCCUGGGCUCGACAUUCUCCACCUGGUCAUCCACAGCCACCUUGGCCGGCUCUA